Molecule: long non-coding RNA, 1612 nt
Filed under: Homo sapiens (human)
Lineage: Eukaryota; Metazoa; Chordata; Mammalia; Primates; Hominidae
Description: LHRI_LNC201.1
Source: RNAcentral
CCUGAAAGUCUUGGGAACCCCCUAAAGUCUUUUGGGAAUCCUCAAAAAGCAUGGGAAGUUAAGUAUUUAGCUACAUAAAUGUUGUAAGAUCAUAUCUUAUGUAUAGAAGUAAUAAGACCAUUUGGAAUUACUGGACUAAUUGAAUAGUUAAGGUUUCUAUUCGGGACAAUAAAAUGUAUUUUGAAAGUGCUGCUAACUAUUGAUGCUGACAGUGUUUCACUCCUAUGAGUGACCCAAACAUAUUAUAAAUAUGUGGUAAAGGGAAUGGAGCCUGUGGGGUUGAGCAGAAUGUUGUACUAGCUGUGCCUGGACUGAGUAUAACAGCUUUAUGAUUAUGAGAAAACAAAUUCUUUAUUUUUUUUUCUGUUCCAAAGAUUCAUCCUAUGGGGUGGCCAUAAAGUCUAGAAUUAGAUACUAAUAUUUUGUCAUUCAUUAUAACAUAUCGAUAAACCAUUUGUUAAAAGAUUUGCCUGGUUUCCAGACUUGGUGGCCACCUUGAAUAAUUCUUGCUGUCUUCUGGGAAGGAUGAUGAAAUUUAUUCCUGCUGCCUUAAAAAUAUGUAUCCCUUCUUCACCCAUCAUGACUGUCCCCAGUGAGUGUCCUUUACUAUUCUUGGGAGUGACUCCUGUCUAACUUUUCAUACUGGCGAGAAGAAAAGAAGCCUAUUUUAACACUUUAGUGGUGUUGAAACACAUUACUUACUUUCUGAAGAUGUCCCAGUGAAUCCUCUGUCAAUUCACUGCCAUAUGUAAUCUAUAUGAUAAGGAAUGCAUCUUCCUUCUAAGUACUGCCCAAACUCUUGCCAGCUCCUCUCCCAUUGUCCCUUCAUGUGAAUAUUUCUUGGCUACCUUAGUGGAAAUAUAGAUCAGUCUUCUCCCCAUCCAUCCUCUCAAACAUAAUGAGAUUGUUUACUUUUUAGAUUUAUGCAGUGAAAAUGCCCAGUCAGGUCUGAAUCGUCAGUGCAUUAUAUUGACUCUGAGCACUUUAGAAUUUAGAGUUGCAAUUGAAUGCCAGCUGUGGAGAUGGGGUGCAUAUCAGAUAUAUAAAUAAAGCUCAGGUUUGCUAGGGAACCAGGUAUAGAGAAAAAUAAGUCUGAUAUGAGGAAGGAAAAUUGCACAAUUUAGAGUAGUUAUGCCAUAGAGAAAAUUUCCACAAACUAGGAAAUGUAGAGAGUUAUUCUAUAGAAUACUCAAAAGAGGAAAGUAUGUGAUUUUUGGAAACAGGAAAAUCUUCAAACUUCUUUCUUCACUUCCCUUUGUGUUUAGCUGACCCUCCAAUGUGAUCAUUGCCUUUGGAGUUUGGGAGAGGUACGGGAAGUGGCCUGAUCCCUGCUUCCAUACUUCACUCCUCCAUCCAUCCUUCCCUCCCUCUUCCCCUCCAGCUAAAUGGACAAUUCUAGCCAACAUUGAGUCACUCAAUAAGUCUCAACAGUGGGUGUGUUUGCUGAGAUUGUCCAGCAGUUGAGCAGUUUGGUCUCACCUCCCUCGCUAGUUGAGACCAAAAAGAGACAAAUAACUUUUUCAUGGUCUUUGAAACAUAAUGCUUAUUUCGUGGUCAAUGGCUUUAAAAAAAUCUGUUUCUUGUUUUCUUCAACAAACUCACUAGUUUUCCC